This is a long non-coding RNA of Solanum dulcamara, 876 nucleotides long. RefSeq lists it as uncharacterized. The record is from RefSeq and is a predicted model, not a curated record. NCBI's taxonomy places the organism in Eukaryota, Viridiplantae, Streptophyta, Magnoliopsida, Solanales, Solanaceae. The transcript has 2 exons.
AAAAGUGUUUUAACUGGAUGAUGUAGACUUUCUGCUAGCAUUAGCUUUACAUCUUGUUUCAUUAUUUGUUUUGCCAGGUAUUAACUUCAUUAUUGCCUCUUGUAGGAAAAAAGGCUGAGAGUGAACAGGGGUUUGAAAAAGUUGCAUGAGAGAGUAAAGAAACAACAAGAGAAAGUGGAAGAGAAGAUUCAAACAGUAGUAAAGCAUCGAAAUAUUUGGGUGGAGAAUGAUGAUAGAUUGGUUGCUGGUUUCCUUGAGAUGUUUGAAGAGGGUUGCCACAAAAUGGUUAGAUCUCUCUGCCGCUUUUUCCAUCCCUCCUUCCUCCCAUGCUCUUCUCCUCUUGUUUCUAUCCAUUGUUCAAUCCCUUACAGUUUGCCAGGCUGAAAAAUUUUAGCACCUCGCGCACACAAAUCAUAUAUUUGCACUUCUGAUCAUGCAUAUUGGAUUUCAACAAGGAACUGUCAUAAGAGACCGAAUUCAAGAGCAGAUGAGGUCCAAGAGUAUAAAAGGGAUUCUAUAUGACAAAGAAGAGGAAGAUGAUGAAUAUGACUACUAUUACGGAAGCAGUGACGAUGAUGAAGAAUACUACGACGGUGAAGAUGAAGAAUAGGGUUCAUCACUUUAUCAUGUUAUGUGGUGAGUUUCUCAGUGUAAAAUGUAGUUUAUGGAUCAAGUUGUAUGAAGAUGUAUUAUGUCUAAUGGUUGGAUGCGCGUGCAAUAUGCGUGUUUUCUUUUGGUAGAAUGUAGUGGCAAUUAGUCGUGUUGUAAACCGUGAUCAAGCAUAGUCUUGUACCAUAACGCUGUCAAGCAGAGUGAUUUGUCUAAUAUGAGAUGAAUAAUCAUAUGUUCUUGAAAAUGCAACUUUAUUUCCCCCUU